GGUGAAAAGCACCCCGGAAGGGGAGUGAAAUAGAACCUGAAACCGUGUGCUUACAAGUAGUCAGAGCCCGUUAAUGGGUGAUGGCGUGCCUUUUGUAGAAUGAACCGGCGAGUUACGAUUUGAUGCAAGGUUAAGCAGUAAAUGUGGAGCCGUAGCGAAAGCGAGUCUGAAUAGGGCGUUUAGUAUUUGGUCGUAGACCCGAAACCAGGUGAUCUACCCUUGGUCAGGUUGAAGUUCAGGUAACACUGAAUGGAGGACCGAACCGACUUACGUUGAAAAGUGAGCGGAUGAACUGAGGGUAGCGGAGAAAUUCCAAUCGAACCUGGAGAUAGCUGGUUCUCUCCGAAAUAGCUUUAGGGCUAGCCUCAAGUGAUGAUUAUUGGAGGUAGAGCACUGUUUGGACGAGGGGCCCCUCUCGGGUUACCGAAUUCAGACAAACUCCGAAUGCCAAUUAAUUUAACUUGGGAGUCAGAACAUGGGUGAUAAGGUCCGUGUUCGAAAGGGAAACAGCCCAGACCACCAGCUAAGGUCCCAAAAUAUAUGUUAAGUGGAAAAGGAUGUGGCGUUGCCCAGACAACUAGGAUGUUGGCUUAGAAGCAGCCAUCAUUUAAAGAGUGCGUAAUAGCUCACUAGUCGAGUGACACUGCGCCGAAAAUGUACCGGGGCUAAA
Molecule: ribosomal RNA, 670 nt
Filed under: Staphylococcus aureus
Lineage: Bacteria; Bacillati; Bacillota; Bacilli; Caryophanales; Staphylococcaceae
Description: partial 23S ribosomal RNA
Rfam family: Bacterial large subunit ribosomal RNA
Source: RNAcentral